This 259-nucleotide ribosomal RNA is filed under the name uncultured bacterium. RNAcentral's name for it is "partial 16S ribosomal RNA". It matches the Rfam family "Bacterial small subunit ribosomal RNA", at positions 95 to 354 of the family's 1533-position model. The record is from RNAcentral.
UUGGCGAACGGGUGAGUAACACGUGAGCAACCUGCCCUAUACAACGGGAUAACACAGAGAAAUUUGUGCUAAUACGGUAUAAGACCACAGUAUCGCAUGAUACAGGGGUAAAAGAUUUAUCGGUAUAGGAUGGGCUCGCGACCCAUUAGCUAGUUGGUGAGGUAACGGCCCACCAAGGCAACGAUCAGUAGCCGGCCUGAGAGGGUGAACGGCCACAUUGGGACUGAGACACGGCCCAAACUCCUACGGAAGGCAGCAG